CCACCGUGGCCUCCACAGCAGGGAGGGAGAGAACAGAGGCUGGGAGGCAGCACAAGCAUCUCUGGAGGGCACUGACUGCAAGGGCUCUGACUUGGACAUGUGUAAAGUUACUGGAAGUGAGCAUUUAGAUGGACAAUCACCAGAAGAGCUGCGCGGCUAGAUAAAGCUGAAGACCAACACCGGGCUGUCUUCUAAUGCGUGUAGCCUGGGAGAGGAGGUGGAAGCAGGAGACUGAACACGACUGGGAAGAGAUGGCAGGGAAAGUCUAAAGGUGCCACAGCCUGGAGAGUGGGAGACAAUUCGAGGAGGAGGCAACUGCAGAAAUCUGACCUGCAGUUCAGGGCUGUGAUGAAGCUCACUGCCUCCAGUCACUGAAAGGGAGAAGCAGUUAAGAACAAAAGCGGCCCACAGCUUCCCUGCUACUGCAUCUGCCGUUUCUGUACAGUGCUCCGGCCCUCCUUUCCUGGCCAGGGCUUCCUGCCCUGCGGUCCUGUCCCUUCUCGUCCAGGCUCCUGCUCAGGGUGGGACACUGAAGACAAGGUGGAGGAACAGAAUUCUCAUCUACUAGUAUGUUAAUCACCAGAGUUUAUUGUAAGAGGCUGACCCCACUGCAUUUAGGGCCUCCUGACUCCUCUGUCACGUCAUGAUGGCUCUUUCAAUUCCAUGCAGCAACCAAGUCAUUUGGAAAAACACAGACAAAGAAGAAGGCAGGUAUUCUAAUAAAUGUCUAAAAGUGAAAUGUCUGGGACAAAUGUGAGGGUUUGUGGGUUUAACCGUACAAAUAUAGAAUUAUUAGUAACAGCAUGGAUGGGGAUAUUAAAGAAUAAAUAAAUGUAAUAAAAACAAAAAAGUACUUUCCUACUUUAUUAAAAAAUAUUUUCUGGUU
This is a long non-coding RNA of Apodemus sylvaticus (European woodmouse), 886 nucleotides long. RefSeq lists it as uncharacterized. The record is from RefSeq and is a predicted model, not a curated record. The transcript is spliced from 3 exons. NCBI's taxonomy places the organism in Eukaryota, Metazoa, Chordata, Mammalia, Rodentia, Muridae.